AUUGGACGCUGGCGGCAGGCCUAACACAUGCAAGUCGAGCGGAUGAAGGGAGCUUGCUCCUGGAUUCAGCGGCGGACGGGUGAGUAAUGCCUAGGAAUCUGCCUGGUAGUGGGGGAUAACGUCCGGAAACGGGCGCUAAUACCGCAUAUGUCCUGAGGGAGAAAGUGGGGGAUCUUCGGACCUCACGCUAUCAGAUGAGCCUAGGUCGGAUUAGCUAGUUGGUGGGGUAAAGGCCUACCAAGGCGACGAUCCGUAACUGGUCUGAGAGGAUGAUCAGUCACACUGGAACUGAGACACGGUCCAGACUCCUACGGGAGGCAGCAGUGGGGAAUAUUGGACAAUGGGCGAAAGCCUGAUCCAGCCAUGCCGCGUGUGUGAAGAAGGUCUUCGGAUUGUAAAGCACUUUAAGUUGGGAGGAAGGGCAGUAAGUUAAUACCUUGCUGUUUUGACGUUACCGACAGAAUAAGCACCGGCUAACUUCGUG
Molecule: ribosomal RNA, 484 nt
Filed under: uncultured bacterium
Lineage: Bacteria
Description: partial 16S ribosomal RNA
Rfam family: Bacterial small subunit ribosomal RNA
Source: RNAcentral